UUCUGACCGUAAACGAUGCCAACUAGCGAUCCGCCGGUGGCUUCUAGGCCCUGGUGGGGAGCUUCCCGGAAACGAAAGUCUUCCGGUUCCGGGGGAAGUAUGGUUGCAAAGCUGAAACUUAAAGGAAUUGACGGAAGGGCACCACCAGGUGUGGAUCCUGCGGCUUAAUUUGACUCAACACGGGAAAACUCACCCGGCCCGGACACCGUGAGGAUUGACAGAUUGAUAGCUUUUUCAUGAUUCGGUGGUUGGUGGUGCAUGGCCGUUCUUAGUUCGUGGAUCGAUUUGUCUGGUUUAUUCCGAUAACGAGCGAGACUCCAGCCUACUAACUAGUGCAGGCAUUGCUUCUGUGCCUUUCGCACUUCUUAGAGGGAUUGGCUGCGUCUAGCGGCACGAAACGGAGCAAUAACAGGUCUGUGAUGCCCUUAGAUGUCCGGGGCUGCACGCGCGCUACACUGGCAAAGGCAACGUGCUUGUCCGUCUCCGAGAGGAGCCGGUAAACCCUUGAAAGUUUGCCGUGAUUGGGAUCGGAGAUUGCAAUUAUUUUCCGUGAACGAGGAAUACCUAGUAAGUGCGAGUCAUCAGCUCGCGUUG
RNAcentral lists this ribosomal RNA (594 nucleotides) under Criconemoides sp. PassionII-molt. RNAcentral's name for it is "SSU rRNA". It matches the Rfam family "Eukaryotic small subunit ribosomal RNA", at positions 1024 to 1643 of the family's 1831-position model. Lineage: Eukaryota; Metazoa; Nematoda; Chromadorea; Rhabditida; Criconematidae. The record is from RNAcentral.